AAAAAUACCGCAUAAAAACUUUAAACACAAGUUUUAAGUUUGAAAGAUGCAAUUGCAUCACUCAAAGAUGAUCCCGCGUUGUAUUAGCUAGUUGGUGAGGUAAAGGCUCACCAAGGCGAUGAUACAUAGCCGACCUGAGAGGGUGAUCGGCCACAUUGGGACUGAGACACGGCCCAAACUCCUACGGGAGGCAGCAGUAGGGAAUCUUCGGCAAUGGACGAAAGUCUGACCGAGCAACGCCGCGUGAGUGAAGAAGGUUUUCGGAUCGUAAAACUCUGUUGGUAGAGAAGAACGUUGGUGAGAGUGGAAAGCUCAUCAAGUGACGGUAACUACCCAGAAAGGGACGGCUAACUACGUGCCAGCAGCCGCGGUAAUACGUAGGUCCCGAGCGUUGUCCGGAUUUAUUGGGCGUAAAGCGAGCGCAGGUGGUUUAUUAAGUCU
This 441-nucleotide ribosomal RNA is filed under the name Lactococcus sp. HFB0012. Its description in RNAcentral is "bacterial SSU rRNA". It matches the Rfam family "Bacterial small subunit ribosomal RNA", at positions 162 to 590 of the family's 1533-position model. The record is from RNAcentral. Lineage: Bacteria; Bacillati; Bacillota; Bacilli; Lactobacillales; Streptococcaceae.